Molecule: ribosomal RNA, 374 nt
Filed under: uncultured bacterium
Lineage: Bacteria
Description: bacterial SSU rRNA
Rfam family: Bacterial small subunit ribosomal RNA
Source: RNAcentral
GACGAACGCUGGCGGCAUGCCUAACACAUGCAAGUCGAACGAGACCUUCGGGUCUAGUGGCGCACGGGUGCGUAACGCGUGGGAAUCUGCCCUUGGGUUCGGAAUAACUCAGAGAAAUUUGAGCUAAUACCGGAUGAUGACGUAAGUCCAAAGAUUUAUCGCCCAAGGAUGAGCCCGCGUAGGAUUAGCUAGUUGGUGAGGUAAAGGCUCACCAAGGCGACGAUCCUUAGCGGUCUGAGAGGAUGAUCAGCCACACUGGGACUGAGACACGGCCCAGACUCCUACGGGAGGCAGCAGUGGGGAAUAUUGGACAAUGGGCGGAAAAGCCUGAUCCAGCAAUGCCGCGUGAGUGAUGAAGGCCUUAGGGUUGUAAA